This 253-nucleotide ribosomal RNA is filed under the name uncultured bacterium. RNAcentral's name for it is "partial 16S ribosomal RNA". It matches the Rfam family "Bacterial small subunit ribosomal RNA", at positions 524 to 776 of the family's 1533-position model. The record is from RNAcentral.
UACGUAGGGUGCGAGCGUUGUCCGGAAUUAUUGGGCGUAAAGGGCUCGUAGGCGGUUUGUCGCGUCGGGAGUGAAAACCAGGUGCUUAACACCUGGCUUGCUUUCGAUACGGGCAGGCUAGAGGUAUGCAGGGGAGAACGGAAUUCCAGGUGUAGCGGUGAAAUGCGUAGAUAUCUGGAGGAAUACCGGUGGCGAAGGCGGCAUCCUGGACCGGCAUUGACGCUGAGGAGCGAAAGCUAGGAGAGCAAACGGG